RNAcentral lists this long non-coding RNA (1044 nucleotides) under Equus caballus (horse). RNAcentral describes it as "lncRNA (ENSECAG00000047989.1)". The record is from RNAcentral. Lineage: Eukaryota; Metazoa; Chordata; Mammalia; Perissodactyla; Equidae.
CUAUGGGAACACACUGUUUAAAUCAAAGGUCAUUACGCAAUUGGAUUAUUGCUUACACCUACUUCAUUAUAUGAUCAAUCAGAAACUCAGUACUGGGCAUCAGCUUUGAAUCUGCUUCAGAGACUAAAAUGUGAAACUAGUUCCACACACUGUCAAGGGUGUUCAAUGCCUGGUGGGAUCAACCCCAGCGAAGCUACUGGAUUUGGAAAAAUUACUUUUUUCCUUGGCUCGCUGCUAUAAAAACACCACUUGGAUAAUGGCCAUUCAGUGCUUUGAAAUGAUUGCUAAGGAUUCUAAGCCUUCAGUUGAGAAACUUCAAGCAACUACAGACAGUGUUUGCCUUUAAAGGAACUUGACAGGAAGGCUUUGCUCUGCUCUGACACUCUUGUUGCUCAAACGUGGCCAAUGGCUCCUGAGGAAGCCACUUUCCCUCCUACGUGGGACACAGCAUAUGAGGAAUGAGCCUUUCUGGUGAAGAGGGACGAUGCUCAAAUGGCUGAUCAGCAAUGCUUUCCAAUAGUCGAUCAGCAAUGCUUUCAAAUGGUUGAUCAGCAAUCCUUUCAAAGAAAGAUCUAGAUCCAAAGAAGGAAAUGUCAAAAUUGACUAUAGUGGAGCAAUUUUAAAUGGAGUCAGAGCUGCCUUUCCAGAGGAACUGCCUUGCCGUCUUAAACCUUGGAGUGAGCCAAAUCUUUGGACUGGGCCGAAACGGCAAUUCUUUUACACGCCCUUGUUUGACAAGUCAGCAGGUGAAUGGACAUCCUGAUUAUGGACUUUCUAAAGAUAGAAUCAAUGGUCAAUCAAUGUUUAGCCAAGGCUAGCUCUCUGUCUCCAACUCCGAUUAAAAUCCCUUGUAAUAUAACCUCCCUUCCUCGUCUUUAAAGCCCCUGACUUUUACUCUCUAACAGGACACUAUCUGGAUUUCCACCUGAAUCUGAUCUCCCCGAAUUGCAAUUCUUGAGACGCCAAGUCAACUAUUUGCUUCUCUUGCAGUUUAUGCCUCUUAUUCAUUGACACUGGCAAGACGUUUCUUCCUCUGGUCCUCAC